GGUUAAAAUUUCAUCCACUUUCACUUUUAAAAAUUGGUGUAGUUGACAGAAUAACCAAAUAGUUGUACCUUAUAUUGACAUACAAUGAUCGAUUUUAAUAGUAGAAUGGAUGGAAUCUUUAACA
This 124-nucleotide microRNA precursor is filed under the name Gossypium hirsutum (cotton). RNAcentral describes it as "MIR7502 microRNA precursor family". It matches the Rfam family "MIR7502 microRNA precursor family". Lineage: Eukaryota; Viridiplantae; Streptophyta; Magnoliopsida; Malvales; Malvaceae. The record is from Rfam by way of RNAcentral.